This 253-nucleotide ribosomal RNA is filed under the name uncultured bacterium. RNAcentral's name for it is "partial 16S ribosomal RNA". It matches the Rfam family "Bacterial small subunit ribosomal RNA", at positions 524 to 776 of the family's 1533-position model. The record is from RNAcentral.
UACGUAGGGUGCAAGCGUUAAUCGGAAUUACUGGGCGUAAAGAGCUCGUAGGCGGUUUGUCGCGUCUGCUGUGAAAACCGGAGGCUCAACCUCCGGCCUGCAGUGGGUACGGGCAAACUAGAGUGCGGUAGGGGAGAUUGGAAUUCCUGGUGUAGCGGUGGAAUGCGCAGAUAUCAGGAGGAACACCGGUGGCGAAGGCGGUUCUCUGGACAGUUCCUGACGCUGAGGCACGAAGGUCAGGGGAGCAAACGGG